This 399-nucleotide ribosomal RNA is filed under the name Salmonella enterica subsp. enterica serovar Infantis. Its description in RNAcentral is "partial 23S ribosomal RNA". It matches the Rfam family "Bacterial large subunit ribosomal RNA", at positions 161 to 586 of the family's 2925-position model. Lineage: Bacteria; Pseudomonadati; Pseudomonadota; Gammaproteobacteria; Enterobacterales; Enterobacteriaceae. RNAcentral also lists the same sequence under 1 other name. The record is from RNAcentral.
AAUCCAUAGGUUAAUGAGGCGAACCGGGGGAACUGAAACAUCUAAGUACCCCGAGGAAAAGAAAUCAACCGAGAUUCCCCCAGUAGCGGCGAGCGAACGGGGAGGAGCCCAGAGCCUGAAUCAGCAUGUGUGUUAGUGGAAGCGUCUGGAAAGGCGCGCGAUACAGGGUGACAGCCCCGUACACAAAAGCGCAUGUGCUGUGAGCUCGAUGAGUAGGGCGGGACACGUGGUAUCCUGUCUGAAUAUGGGGGGACCAUCCUCCAAGGCUAAAUACUCCUGACUGACCGAUAGUGAACCAGUACCGUGAGGGAAAGGCGAAAAGAACCCCGGCGAGGGGAGUGAAAAAGAACCUGAAACCGUGUACGUACAAGCAGUGGGAGCCCCACCACCAAAGCAUUC